This 89-nucleotide transfer RNA is filed under the name Sulfolobales archaeon HS-7. It matches the Rfam family "tRNA". From Rfam's summary of the family: Transfer RNA (tRNA) molecules are approximately 80 nucleotides in length. The record is from Rfam by way of RNAcentral. Lineage: Archaea; Thermoproteati; Thermoproteota; Thermoprotei; Sulfolobales.
GCCGCGGUAGUAUAGCCCGGUCAAGUAUGCGGGCCUUUCGAGCACUGCGGGGAUAGCCCGUGACCCGGGUUCAAAUCCCGGCCGCGGCA